CGUUGACCGGAAUCCCGAGCUCUCCUUCCAGCCGGGCGACUCGGCGGGUUUUGAGCCCAAACCAAAAGCCGGAGAUGGAAAACAAUCCGGAGCUCCGGGGACCGCAGCGCCCUGCCAGGCGGAAAAACACCUUGGCUUCCUGAGGGAAACUUAGCUAGGAAGAACCCAUGAGCAAACAGGUGCAAGCAAAUUCCGGGAAGACUUGAUUUCAGCCCAGAAUGCGAGCGGUGGGGCCCGGAGGGGACGGACGAUCAAAACCAAAAACUGUAGCUGGAUUUGGAUGUUCAAAAUCAAAGUUUUGGAGUAGUUAGGGGUAGAUGAGAAAUCUAGUGGAGUCUCUUCAGAUAACUGAGCUAGUGAGGCCGAUGAUAAAAAAGACCGAAAAGGCCAAGACGACGUGGGUAAGGGAAAAAGUCCCCUCAUUUAUCUGGAUUUGGUUAAUUUCUACGAAGAGUCAAGAAUUUCUUAAAAAAAAAAAAAAAAAAAAGAAUUUCGAAGCCGGGCGGUGGUGGCACACGCCUUUAAUCCCAGCACUCGGGAGGCAGAGGCAGGCGGAUCUCUGUAAGUUCAAGGCCAGCCUGGUCUACAAGAGCUAGUUCCAGGACAGGAACCAAAAGUUACGGAGAAACCCUGUCUCGAAAAAUCAAAAAAAAAUUUUCGACAGGAGCCCUUGGUGCACCUCCAGAGGACAUGAAUUCGAUCUCAGCACCCACAUGCCAACUGUCUACUGCUCCGGUUGCCUUCUUCUGGCCCCCACUGGCACCUGCAGCCUCCGACUCUAAAGUGGAAAGAGGGGUUGCCUGUUUGGGAGACCAAGGCACGGCGAAGAAGCCAAGCUUUGGAGGAUGAGCUGCUGCUGCUGCUGUGAGAUCAGGAACGAUGUGGAAGGGAUAUAAAUAUCCCCCAGGAGGGACCCCCUUGGAAGUAAACAAAGAUGACCCUGGUGAAGUCAUGCAGCUGUGAAGAACACCCAACUGCCCAGUUCCUGUUGUAGGUUUCACAUAAAGUAAUCGCACAUUAUUUUGUCAGAUUCUGUGUAGUUACCAUGCGUCUUAAGAUGAACAAACACAAUAUUCUCCUAACAGAGACAGAGAGUGAGUUGGUAGAUGGGAGUGAGUGGGUGAUGGUCAGGCCCUAUUUGUCAAAGCCUCUAAGGCUGAGACACCUCGUUUAAAUUGUCCCCUCUUGGGUAAUCAUAAGUAAUGAUUUUUAGACCCACUUCCCAAAUACUAUAUCCCAAAUCCUGAGUCCAAAAGUAAAAAUUAUCCCACGGGGUUCAUUUAAAUACAAGGGGAGAUGCUAAGGUGGUAUUCAACCCUCACCCAGACCUGCUGAAGCUGGGUCUUGGCCUCACUUGAAGUGACCGAAGAGAAAUUAAGAGGCUCAGGUAUCUUGCCAGCACAGACCUGGACAUAGUAGGGAUGUAGAU
Molecule: RNA transcript, 1429 nt
Organism: Microtus oregoni (creeping vole)
Lineage: Eukaryota; Metazoa; Chordata; Mammalia; Rodentia; Cricetidae
Gene: Misfa
Gene name: SPTY2D1 opposite strand
Exons: 4
Source: RefSeq, a predicted model, not a curated record